AUCCGUGAAGCCAUCUCUUCGGGACCUACAGGUUUGACCAGAAUUCACAGCAUCACGUGAAUGCAGGAGUCGUAGCAAGGAAUUCCUGCCGUGAGGAGUAUGUAAACGCGCCAGACGCCUCAUUGUUACGGCGAGAAGAAGGCUGACUAGGGAACGGCAUAUAUAUAUACCGUCAGAGAGAAGAUAGGCCGCGCACGAUCAGAAUAAUGCCUGUCGGUGUACUUGAACGAGGCAACCGGAGGUGUUAGUGGACUAUAAAGAGAGAAGCACAGAACGGUCGGCUCGUGCACGAGCCACACAGCGGGACACUGUUG
RNAcentral lists this unclassified non-coding RNA (314 nucleotides) under Bombus terrestris (buff-tailed bumblebee). RNAcentral's name for it is "misc RNA ENSBTSG00005029244.1". Lineage: Eukaryota; Metazoa; Arthropoda; Insecta; Hymenoptera; Apidae. The record is from RNAcentral.